Molecule: ribosomal RNA, 502 nt
Filed under: uncultured euryarchaeote
Lineage: Archaea; Methanobacteriati; Methanobacteriota
Description: bacterial SSU rRNA
Rfam family: Archaeal small subunit ribosomal RNA
Source: RNAcentral
ACACUUUACAAUGCGGGAAACCCGCGAUAAGGGAACCCCGAGUGCCAGCAUCAAAUGUUGGCUGUCCAGAUGAUUAAAAAUCAUUUGUUAGCAAGGGCCGGGCAAGACCGGUGCCAGCCGCCGCGGUAACACCGGCGGCCCGAGUGGUAGCCGUUUUUAUUGGGUCUAAAGGGUCCGUAGCCGGCCUGAUAAGUCCUUUGGGAAAUCUGGCAGCUUAACUGUCAGGCUUCUAAGGGAUACUGUCAGGCUUGGGACCGGAAGAGGUAAGGGGUACUCCAGGGGUAGGAGUGAAAUCUUGUAAUCCCUGGGGGACCAUCUGUGGCGAAGGCGCCUUACCAGAACGGGUCCGACGGUGAGGGACGAAAGCUAGGGGAGCAAACCGGAUUAGAUACCCGGGUAGUCCUAGCUGUAAACGAUGCUCGCUAGGUGUCAGACACGGUGCGACCGUGUUUGGUGCCGCAGGGAAGCCAUAAGCGAGCCACCUGGAAGUACGUCGCAAGGC